CGAUGUCGACCUCGACGUCAUGAUGUCUCCUUCACAAUGACCACGACUUUGACGUCGGCGUAGGCAUCGAUAACGUCUUCUUUAAUGUUUGCUACGUCAACCUAGAUAGUGGUGACUUUUCCUCAAUAACCUCAACACCUACCUCGACGUCGGUGACGUCCUUCUCAAUAACUACGAUGCCAGUCUCGACGUCGAUGAUGUCACUCUCAAUAACCUCGACGCUAACCUCCACGUAGGGGCCAACCUCAAUGUCAGUGACGUUUUUCUCAAUAACCUUAGCGUCAACCUCGACGUUAGCACCAACCUCGACGUCGGUGACUUCUUUCUCAAUAACCUUGGCGCUAACCUCGACAUCGGUGUAAACCUCGACGUCGACGCCAACCUCGACAUUGGUGACGUCUUUCUCUACAACCUCAGCGUCGACCUCGACGUUGGUGACCUCUUUCUCAAUAACCUCAGCGUCGACCUCAACGUCGGCGCCAAUCUCAACAUCGACGACGUUUUUCACAAUAACCUUAGUGUCGACCUCUACGUUGGCGUCUCGUUGUCGGCCCUUGGCUUCAACCUCGAUGUCGGCAUCUCUUAUCGGCGUUGGCAUUUUUCUCAACCUCAGCGCUGACCUCGACCUUGACGUUGGCAUCUCGUCG
Molecule: long non-coding RNA, 647 nt
Filed under: Rosa chinensis
Lineage: Eukaryota; Viridiplantae; Streptophyta; Magnoliopsida; Rosales; Rosaceae
Description: sRNA RchiOBHm_Chr7g0214241
Source: RNAcentral